Molecule: ribosomal RNA, 311 nt
Filed under: uncultured bacterium
Lineage: Bacteria
Description: bacterial SSU rRNA
Rfam family: Bacterial small subunit ribosomal RNA
Source: RNAcentral
GACGAACGCUGGCGGCGCGCCUAACACAUGCAAGUCGAACGAGCGAGAGAGAGCUUGCUUUCUCGAGCGAGUGGCGAACGGGUGAGUAACGCGUGAGGAACCUGCCUCAAAGAGGGGGACAACAGUUGGAAACGACUGCUAAUACCGCAUAAGCCCACAGGUCGGCAUCGACCAGAGGGAAAAGGAGUGAUCCGCUUUGAGAUGGCCUCGCGUCCGAUUAGCUGGUUGGUGAGGUAACGGCCCACCAAGGCAACGAUCGGUAGCCGGACUGAGAGGUUGAACGGCCACAUUGGGACUGAGACACGGCCCAG